Molecule: ribosomal RNA, 496 nt
Filed under: uncultured bacterium
Lineage: Bacteria
Description: partial 16S ribosomal RNA
Rfam family: Bacterial small subunit ribosomal RNA
Source: RNAcentral
AUGAACGCUGGCGGCGUGCCUAAUCCCUGCAAGUCGAGCGAACAGACGAGGAGCUUGCUCCUCUGACGUUAGCGGCGGACGGGUGAGUAACACGUGGAUAACCUACCUAUAAGACUGGGAUAACUUCGGGAAACCGGAGCUAAUACCGGAUAAUAUAUUUAACCGCAUGGUUCAAUAGUGAAAGACGGUUUUGCUGUCACUUAUAGAUGGAUCCGCGCCGCAUUAGCUAGUUGGUAAGGUAACGGCUUACCAAGGCAACGAUGCGUAGCCGACCUGAGAGGGUGAUCGGCCACACUGGAACUGAGACACGGUCCAGACUCCUACGGGAGGCAGCAGUAGGGAAUCUUCCGCAAUGGGCGAAAGCUUGACGGAGCAACGCCGCGUGAGUGAUGAAGGUCUUCGGAUCGUAAAACUCUGUUAUUAGGGAAGAACAAAUGUGUAAGUAACUAUGCACGUCUUGACGGUACCUAAUCAGAAAGCCACGGCUAACUACGUG